UGCUAGUUGCACGAGCUUAGACUCGUAGCGGAAAGCUCAGUAACACGUGGUCAAACUACCCUAUAGACUGGAAUAACCUCGGGAAACUGAGGACAAUACCGGAUAACGCCCCCACGUUUGAACACGGGGGGCCGGAAACGCUCCGGCGCUAUAGGAUGUGGCUGCGGCCGAUUAGGUAGACGGUGGGGUAACGGCCCACCGUGCCGAUAAUCGGUACGGGUUGUGAGAGCAAGAGCCCGGAGAUGGAUUCUGAGACAAGAAUCCAGGCCCUACGGGGCGCAGCAGGCGCGAAAACUUUACACUGCACGACAGUGCGAUAAGGGAACUCCAAGUGCGAGGGCAUAUAGUCCUCGCUUUUGUGUAUCGUAAGGUGGUACACGAAUAAGAGCUGGGCAAGACCGGUGCCAGCCGCCGCGGUAAUACCGGCAGCUCAAGUGAUGGCCAAUAUUAUUGGGCCUAAAGCGUCCGUAGCCGGCCGAACAGGUCCGUCGGGAAAUCUGCUCGCUCAACGAGCAGGCGUCCGACGGAAACCAGUCGGCUUGGGACCGGAAGACCCGAGGGGUACGUCUGGGGUAGGAGUGAAAUCCUGUAAUCCUAGACGGACCGCCGGUGGCGAAAGCGCCUCGGGAAGACGGAUCCGACGGUGAGGGACGAAAGCUAGGGUCACGAACCGGAUUAGAUACCCGGGUAGUCCUAGCUGUAAACGAUGCUCGCUAGGUGUGGCACAGGCUACGAGCCUGUGCUGUGCCGUAGGGAAGCCGAGAAGCGAGCCGCCUGGGAAGUACGUCUGCAAGGAUGAAACUUAAAGGAAUUNGGCGGGGGAGCACUACAACCNGGAGGAGCCUGCGGUUUAAUUGGACUCAACGCCGGACAUCUCACCAGCACCGACAAUAGCUGUGACGGUCAGUUUGAUGAGCUUACUAGAGCUUUUGAGAGGAGGUGCAUGGCCGCCGUCAGCUCGUACCGUGAGGCGUCCUGUUAAGUCAGGCAACGAGCGAGACCCGCAUUCCUAAUUGCCAGCAGCACCCUUGUGGUGGCUGGGUACAUUAGGAGGACUGCCGCUGCUAAAGCGGAGGAAGGAACGGGCAACGGUAGGUCAGCAUGCCCCGAAUGUGCUGGGCUACACGCGGGCUACAAUGGCCGAGACAAUGGGUUGCAACCCCGAGAGGGGGCGCUAAUCUCCGAAACUCGGUCGUAGUUCGGAUUGAGGGCUGAAACUCGCCCUCAUGAAGCUGGAUUCGGUAGUAAUCGCGCUUCAGCAGAGCGCGGUGAAUACGUCCCUGCUCCUUGCACACACCGCCCGUCAAAGCACCCGAGUGAGGUCCGGAUGAGGCCAUCAGGCGAUGGUCGAAUC
Molecule: ribosomal RNA, 1354 nt
Filed under: Haladaptatus pallidirubidus
Lineage: Archaea; Methanobacteriati; Methanobacteriota; Halobacteria; Halobacteriales; Haladaptataceae
Description: bacterial SSU rRNA
Rfam family: Archaeal small subunit ribosomal RNA
Source: RNAcentral